GGCGAGCACCCCUGAAAUGGAUCCCAGCACCUCACAGGCACACGUUUGGUGGCUCCCUCUCUCAGGUGUCCUAGAACCCAGGCAUCGCUUGAGCACGCCCCUUCUCUACCCCUUCCUCCUGGUCUCCCAUCCCGGAAGCUGAGUGUCCUGUCCUGUUCUGGGUGCCGGCGAUGGAACCCGGGCCUCUUGCAUGCUGGCCACACGCUGGACCCUGAGCUGAGCUGCACCCCAGCCCUGGGCGGGUGUCUUGAGAACGCAGCACCCGGAGUCGGAAGGCGAGCAGCGAAGUUUGGCGGUAGCGAGCGGUCGAGCCGGGGGCCCGGGCGCGGAGCAUGCAGGCCGGGCGGGCGCGGGGAGCGCGGGGGUGAGCGGGAGAGCGAGCGGAG
This 386-nucleotide long non-coding RNA is filed under the name Heterocephalus glaber (naked mole-rat). Its description in RNAcentral is "lncRNA (ENSHGLG00100033703.1)". Lineage: Eukaryota; Metazoa; Chordata; Mammalia; Rodentia; Bathyergidae. The record is from RNAcentral.